This 53-nucleotide transfer RNA is filed under the name Enterobius vermicularis (human pinworm). RNAcentral describes it as "tRNA-Arg". The record is from RNAcentral. Lineage: Eukaryota; Metazoa; Nematoda; Chromadorea; Rhabditida; Oxyuridae.
AGUAGGUAAAUGGAGAACCAUGUUUAUUUACGGAUUAAAAUGUUAUCUUACUU